UCGAUUUCUGGCUUUUGAUUGUGGAUUAGUUAACCUUACGAUCUCUGCACUUUUUAUGCAUUGUCGAAAUUGAAGAGGUUUGGUUGUUUCGGCGGUGCAGAAUGGAGAAUGGAUUUUGUAUCUAAAUACCAGGAUGUCUUUCCUUCGGAAGGUGAAUUGCUUUUCUGGCUCCAUAAAUCGUUUUACCCCGAGUUACUGCGCCACGCCCUUGAAUUUUCAGAAUUUUGAGUUGUAAUUGUGAUAGCGGGUGGUAGGUAUCUGACGGGUAGCGGGUUGGUGGAUAUCCGACGGGUGGCGGGUAUUCGCAUGUCGCGGGUAUGGGUGGCAAAUAGUAGUGUAUAAGAAGUUAAAAUUUUCUCUAAAAUUUGCUGCUGUUUUGUGGUGAUUAGUGGUUGAUUGCAAGAUGUCGACGUCCAAAAGCAGCAGCGCCCUUACCUCUUAAGCCACGGCGGGUAUCCAACGGGUAGUGGGUGGUGGGUAUCCGACGGGUAGCAGGUGGCGGAUACUCGACGGGUGGCGGGUAUCUGCGGGUCGCAGGUAUAAAUGGCAAAUAGUAGUGACUGGCAAAUAAUUUUUUCGAAUAUACAUUUCGCCAAGUCAUGUUAAUGUUGAAAGUCAUCUUUAAUUUAUUUUUUCAUUUUAGUUUGAUGUGUAACGCAGACCUAUAUCAUAUUAACAGUUUUUUUAGUGAAUAAUAUCCAUAAUUUAUAAAUAUAUUAA
Long non-coding RNA from Salvia miltiorrhiza (redroot sage), 720 nucleotides. RefSeq lists it as uncharacterized. The record is from RefSeq and is a predicted model, not a curated record. NCBI's taxonomy places the organism in Eukaryota, Viridiplantae, Streptophyta, Magnoliopsida, Lamiales, Lamiaceae. The transcript has 2 exons.